Molecule: ribosomal RNA, 440 nt
Filed under: uncultured Arcobacter sp.
Lineage: Bacteria; Pseudomonadati; Campylobacterota; Epsilonproteobacteria; Campylobacterales; Arcobacteraceae
Description: bacterial SSU rRNA
Rfam family: Bacterial small subunit ribosomal RNA
Source: RNAcentral
CCUACGGGGGGCUGCAGUGGGGAAUAUUGCACAAUGGACGAAAGUCUGAUGCAGCAACGCCGCGUGGAGGAUGACACAUUUCGGUGCGUAAACUCCUUUUAUAUAGGAAGAUAAUGACGGUACUAUAUGAAUAAGCACCGGCUAACUCCGUGCCAGCAGCCGCGGUAAUACGGAGGGUGCAAGCGUUACUCGGAAUCACUGGGCGUAAAGAGCGUGUAGGCGGGUAUAUAAGUCAGAAGUGAAAUCCAAUAGCUCAACUAUUGAACUGCUUUUGAAACUGUAUACCUAGAAUGUGGGAGAGGUAGAUGGAAUUUCUGGUGUAGGGGUAAAAUCCGUAGAGAUCAGAAGGAAUACCGAUUGCGAAGGCGAUCUACUGGAACAUUAUUGACGCUGAGACGCGAAAGCGUGGGGAGCAAACAGGAUUAGAUACCCCGGUAGUC